RNAcentral lists this long non-coding RNA (1029 nucleotides) under Volvox carteri. RNAcentral's name for it is "long non-coding RNA (VCAR_LNC003215)". The record is from RNAcentral. Lineage: Eukaryota; Viridiplantae; Chlorophyta; Chlorophyceae; Chlamydomonadales; Volvocaceae.
GAAUCCGUGACUUUCAAAACCAUCGGCUCACAUUGCUUGCGUUCCCAUGUUGAUUCUGUUCAUAGCUGCUUAGUACGGCACCAAAGCGGAAAAGAAGCUGAGCUACCGGUGUGCCGUACAUCCGAAUAAGAAGCCUUAGGGCUCCUUAAGACUCCUUAGGAAUCCGGUUCGACAUGUUAAUUGAUUUCCACGUCAGUUCACUUUUCCUCAUCCUGACGGUAAGUUGCUGGCCGCGGUACUGGCAUGAUAACCUCAACGCGGGCAGCUCAGUGCGUUUUGCUAGGGAUCGGUAGGGCCUGCGGGGCCUGCGGGCAUAUGCGAGUGAAACUUUGCUUGAACAAGUAGCUAACAAACAAAGUGCGUAACGGUAUCAUUCCCUUCAGGAACUUUUGGUUGCGGAAUAUAGCCAACACGCUUCAUAAAGCCCCGCGGGAGUGAAGAUAUGACAGCAUCCAUAUCAUGUGCGUUGUGCACUCGCCGUGUUCUCGGAAGCCGACAUUAGACCGGGCCCGAUGACCGCGGAAGACGCCCGGAAUGGCCGCGGGUCCUUCAGAGCAGUUAGAAGGCAGAGACGCGUCGAGACAAGCUGCAUGCUAAAGUCAAUGACAGUAACACGCCAAUCCGGAAGAACAACGCGAGCUUUGUAUAUGUUAUAUUCUAUUCUUAUGGGUGGGCGUUUCCUGGUGUACAGCCAGGCACGGAACAGGUCGGACCAGGCCAUGUACGAAACGGAUAGAAGUUUGGGAGGUUUGAAGACCAACUAAAAGAGAAAAUGAAUUUAAUCAUGUGAUUCUGAGGUUGAAUAAUCGGCAGCAUGUAUGGUUCGCUGCAGUCCAUGUUGAGGCGUUGGGGUGGCAACGAACGCCACUUCAGUGUCUCUUCCAAAUCCUCCCAAGAAACCAGAAAUAAUGUACUAUGUUAUAUACUAAUAUGAUAAUUAAGCUUGCAUUUGUCAAGUGUAACAUAAUUGGUACAGCAGUACUUCAUACCUUGUCGAAAGAUGCCGAGACAGACUGGAUGCAGCAACAG